AUGAAACAUAACAGAUGCCUACGUUCUGGGGAUUGGGAUGUGAACAUUUUUGGGUGGAGUGGCAGGGGAUUAUUCUACCUACCACAGGCAACUGUGGCAAAAAUUCUGUCCCUGUCGAGAAAGCAAGGACAUCCCAGGUUCUCCAACCAAGCUAUGAUUUCAGAGAUGGUGCCAAUCAGAAUUCUGGAUGAAGCACUUGUUUCAAGAAACGGGCCUGUGGCCCAAGCCAGGACAUCCAUAUGGAAACUGGUGGCAGCAGGAAGAAGAGGACCCCAGAGAGAAAGAAGAAACGGCUUGCUUUCUUUGAGUGGCAGCUGCAAAGGAAUGGAGUUGUUCCAAGUGAAAGUCACAUCUUGAAAUGCAGCCUGAAGCAGGAAUACUACCUUCCGGGAAUUCAGCCAUUAAGAAAGACAUUUAGGAGUAAUAAACGUUACCCAGCGAUCUACUAUGCAGGGUAAUGUCAAAAUCAGAGCCCCCUGGAGCUGCCAGAAGGGGCUGUGGAACUGAAGAAUUUUCCAAAGCACUGAGAAGCCAUGUUCCUAAUGUAAGUAUCCCAUUCCAGAAUCCCCUGUGGGUAGGGUCCCUGGCUCAUAAGAGCAGGUGUGCACAUCCCUCCACAGACUUAAACACGUCCUGGUACCCCUCACAUUCUCUCAGGUGGAUGGGACCUUCUCUAUCAUGCAGGGCUAGAGAGCCCUGAAGCUUCAUCUGGCUUCUGGUGGCUUUAAGGACACCAACAUCGUUUUAGGUCACUAAUUAAAUGAAAAAUUAAUCCUCAUGAUCUUAAUAUUUGGACUAAAAUGAAGUGUGAAAUCAUAGUAAUAACCACCAUUUAUGUAGUGCCUCCCAGGUACCAGGCACUUGACGCCAUUACCUUCUCUAAACCUAACUACGACCUACCAAGGAGGCCUUAUUAUCCCCAUCUUACAAACCCAGAGAGGGUAAGUUAGUUGCCCAGGGUCUCACUUACAACAAGAAGGUAUGUGCUCAAACAUAACUCAAUUCUAUGGAAU
Molecule: long non-coding RNA, 1013 nt
Filed under: Papio anubis (olive baboon)
Lineage: Eukaryota; Metazoa; Chordata; Mammalia; Primates; Cercopithecidae
Description: lncRNA (ENSPANG00000039401.1)
Source: RNAcentral